RNA transcript from Entelurus aequoreus (snake pipefish), 2803 nucleotides. RefSeq lists it as uncharacterized. The record is from RefSeq and is a predicted model, not a curated record. NCBI's taxonomy places the organism in Eukaryota, Metazoa, Chordata, Actinopteri, Syngnathiformes, Syngnathidae. The transcript has 17 exons.
CUGUGUAACACUGAAAGUCUUCCCCGGAUAAACUGGAAACAGUAACACACAACAGGUGUUUCCGGUGAGCGGGUUCGUCAUGUCUGCCAGAAAGCCUCGCUCGGUGGCGAACCCUUUGGAGUCUGCCAUCACUUCACCGAGUGAGAGGAUACUAAAAGAAUGUCACAGUUUGUAUGUCGACAGCGAAAACGGCCUGGUAAAGAUUGCCAGCAGCCUAGGAGUACGCCUUCUUCCCCCCAGAAAGAAGAUUAUUGUGAUGAUCAUGGGAAACCAUUCUGCAGGAAAAAGCUCUUUCAUCAACUGGUAUGUUGAGGAGCAUAUCCAAAAAACUGGUGUUGCCAUUGAAACGCAGGGCUUCACAUUCAUCACAAGUGGGCGUAAAAGAGAAUCAUUGACGGGGAAUGCAACACUACAUCUCUACCCCCAUUUUCGACCACUCCUUGAGUUCAAAGGUGUUAUGGACUAUCUAUCUGCUGAGAUAUCCACCUCCAAGCAGAAGAAGUUCAGCCUUGUGACCUUCGUGGACACACCGGGCUUAGUGGAUGGGGACAUGAUCUACCCUUUUAAUGUUAACAGCGCCAUCACAUGGUUAGGAGAGCAGUCAGACCUGAUAUUUGUGUUCUUUGACCCAAUGGGUCAGGCGCUGUGCAAGCGCACGCUGAACAUUGUGGAAAAGCUGAGUGAGAAGUGUGGGGACAAGCUCUUGUUCUACCUCAGCAAAGCUGACGAUGCUGGAAAGGAAACCGAUCGACAAAGAGUGAUGAUGCAGAUUGUCCAGGAAUUGUGCCGCCGCCCAGGUCUCAACAAAUGUGGUUUUGAAAUGCCAACAAUAUAUAUCCCUAACCCGCAGAAGCCAAGCCGCUGUGUGAACCAAAUCGACGGAGUUUGUCAGACCAUCGAAAAGACCAUCAACCAGACUGUGCAGAGAACUUUGGACCAGUUAGAAAAAGACUGUGAUCUAAUUUGCUUUACCAUCAGCAGCAGACUACAACAGGACAGGACUGAUGCCUCAUACAACAAAAGCGUUCGACUGCACUCGUUCGUGUGUGGUGCUAUGGGAGUUGUCCUUCCUUUGCUCUUCGUUCUCAGUUUCAUUCUGAGCACCUUCCCGAAGGAGCAGCUGAGUGAUCUGAUGGGAGAGGGGUUGGCACACACCCUCUCUGUCUGUACAGGAAUUGUGAUGUACUUAUGGGAGUGGAUUCCGGAAGAUGGGCAAGUUGUCUUUGUGAUCCUUUUUGGAGCCUUUUGUUACCUCCUACUUUUCCUCUCUAAAUACUUCUCUGGUCAAGGAAACAAGACUCUAACAAAGAAGGAGAAGAGAGUGAUGACAGAGUACAGUGAUUAUAUCCAGGAUAUCGUCAAAGCCAAAAAGUCCACUUGCAUUGGAGCCAAAUGGUGCAGUACUUGGCCAGAUCCAGCAGAUAGAACUGCACCUGCAUUGGUGGAAUAUCCCGUUACAUUAUGUCACUUUUUUAACCAUCGAACAGAGCUUUUUUAAACGGGACUGUCUCGACCCCAAUGAUGGAGACGGAGUGGGCCUUGUCUGUCAGAGCUGCAGCCACCUCCAUACCUGCCAAUAGUCUCAAUCAACACUUAAAAUGUUCAGACUUUAGGCCUGUCAUAAGGAGGAUGUCUGUCCAUGGUGCACAUGACGAUGCGGUCUGUGAAGCCCUCUUGCCUCAGCGUCUCCGCACACACCAGACCUGCUGGACCUGCACACAUCAACCAUCACUCAGGACCUGUUUGUCUUGGGAGACCCUACCAGGGGGCAUGAAAGCCCCCGGACAACAUAGCUCCUAGGAUCAUUGGGACACGCAAACUCCUCUACCACGAUCUUUGACAUGGCAGACGGAGGCCUCCACGUAGUCCCGUGAUUUGUGGUACGCUUGGAGAGGGGUGGAGUCGUCGUCCGAGCUGUGCCCCAGGGCCCCGUUUGGCCUGCAGUCCGCAAAGGGACUCGCCUUGCCAUUAGGAACAGAUCUCAGCUAAAAGAGGCCACCCUAACUCAAAUUGAGGACAAAUCAAGUGUGACAACUCCACAAGUGGAACAAAUGAAAGAAGGGAGAAGGUGUCUGGACUAAUUUAAAGGGCAAACCUGCCUUCUUUCUUGUCUUUUUUUUCUUUUUGUUGGCUAUCAUCAUGAAUUCAUUCAUGCUCAGUCUUAAAGCUCAUAAACUGUCUUCUAAGCAGCAAAACAUUUAACAUGGGAAUAUUUUAGUGCUGUCAAACAAUUUCUUUGUAAUCAGAUUAAUUACAAUGAAUCACAAUUAGACAAAUCAUUAAUUUUCAUAUAUAUUAAUGGUGAUUUUGCAUGCGCAAGGAGACUCAAGAAAGAGUGUAAAAUACAGUGGAACGAUUUACAAACUUAAUUGGUUCUUGAACAGGGUUCGUAAAUUGAAAAGUUCAACAACAAUGCUCCAUAAGAAACAAUGCAAAUAUGAAUAAUGGGUUCCAGCCUCAACAGAAGUCCAUAUUUAAGUGGUUUGUACACUUUGAACACAUAAAGUGCUAUACAGGACUGUAUAUCAAAGAAACAUAACAAGGGGGUGAUGGAUCAACUUUCGAUUUAGUAACAGGCCAAAACGACAACAAUGACAAGCUACUGUAUUUUGUAUGCGCUGCACUGCCAACACGCGCACACACACAGGGUGCUCUCACAAACAAUCAGAAAUCACAAAAAUACUUAACUUCAACAACCAUAUAGCUACAAUAAUGAACAUUUACAAAACUAAAAUCCACUUACAUUAACGUUGGCAAAGGAGAAGCUGAAGAGAAAAGAGCAGACAGAGGGGGAGGACGGAGG